RNAcentral lists this long non-coding RNA (451 nucleotides) under Lathyrus oleraceus (garden pea). RNAcentral's name for it is "Pisum sativum (pea) long non-coding RNA (PSAT_LNC039689)". Lineage: Eukaryota; Viridiplantae; Streptophyta; Magnoliopsida; Fabales; Fabaceae. The record is from RNAcentral.
AAAAAAAUACUACAUAUGAGUAUUGAACCCACCCCACUCAAAACUAGAAUACUGUCCUUCCCCAACAGACCACUCAUGAUUAUCUGCUACUGUGAUGCUACGUUAAAUAUAUAAACCGGGAUAAAAAUGAAAUAAAAAAAGAUUAAGAUAAAAAAUAAAAAGAACAAUAAAAGAAAAUACUAACAUAUAAACAUUUUUAUGUUUUUUUUGUUUAUCUCUGUUAAAACAAAUUAAAUUAAAUUAAAUUAAAAAAGAAAAAAAAAAGAAAAAAAGAAAUGGGAACGAAGAAACAGACGCUCGUCUUCCUUCACCCUCUCCCCAACCUCACGAACUCACCCUUUCCACCCAACGACAUUCUCGUACGAACUCGCCUCUCUCGUCCCUCUUACGAAGUCGCUCGCAAUCAUCUCUCAAACCUUUCUCUCGACGUCUUUCUACCUCAAAAUCGCUC